GAAUCUUGCGCAAUGAGCGAAAGCUUGACGCAGCGAUGCCGCGUGCGGGAUGACGGCCCUCGGGUUGUAAACCGCUUUCAGCAGGGACGAAAUUGACGGUACCUGUAGAAGAAGCCCCGGCCAACUACGUGCCAGCAGCCGCGGUAAUACGUAGGGGGCAAGCGUUGUCCGGAUUUAUUGGGCGUAAAGAGCUCGUAGGCGGUUCGGCAAGUCGGCUGUGAAAUCUCCACGCUCAACGUGGAGGGGUCAGUCGAGACUGCUGUGACUCGAGUCCGGUAGGGGAGUGUGGAAUUCCCGGUGUAGCGGUGAAAUGCGCAGAGAUCGGGAGGAACACCCGUAGCGAAGGCGGCACUCUGGGCCGGUACUGACGCUGAGGAGCGAAAGCGUGGGGAGCAAAC
RNAcentral lists this ribosomal RNA (398 nucleotides) under uncultured bacterium. RNAcentral describes it as "bacterial SSU rRNA". It matches the Rfam family "Bacterial small subunit ribosomal RNA", at positions 359 to 773 of the family's 1533-position model. The record is from RNAcentral.